CAGUCGCCGCGGGAAUACGGAGGGUGCAAGCGUUAAUCGGAAUUACUGGGCGUAAAGCGCACGCAGGCGGUCUGUCAAGUCAGAUGUGAAAUCCCCGGGCUUAACCUGGGAACUGCAUUUGAAACUGGCAGGCUAGAGUCUUGUAGAGGGGGGUAGAAUUCCAGGUGUAGCGGUGAAAUGCGUAGAGAUCUGGAGGAAUACCGGUGGCGAAGGCGGCCCCCUGGACAAAGACUGACGCUCAGGUGCGAAAGCGUGGGGAGCAAACAGGAUUAGAUACCCGGGUAGUCCCUGUCUCUUAGAC
Molecule: ribosomal RNA, 301 nt
Filed under: uncultured bacterium
Lineage: Bacteria
Description: partial 16S ribosomal RNA
Rfam family: Bacterial small subunit ribosomal RNA
Source: RNAcentral